CUAGGCUGAUCAGGAAAACUUAUUGAUCUGGGCAGCUUCUGAAGGAUGCACAGUCUCCACGCAUUGGAGAGGAAAGGACAAAGUUAGCAAUAAAGACACAGAUACAAAGGCAUAAAAACAUAAGCUGUACUUGGAAAACAGAAGGCAACUAGUAAUAUAAUCUGAUUAGACUAUAGGAGUUAUUUAUAGGGUGAUCGUACAUCUUGGCUUGUCUGAGAUAAUGCUGUUGUCUUGGAUUAUUAACACAUUCCCUUUCACUCCCCCCGGAAGUAUCCCAUUUUAGACAAUAACUGAUAUGGUCACCAUCACAUAUUUUACUUAUCUGAAUUUAAUGUCAACAAAAAUCUCCCAAGUGUUUUCCAUAUGUGCUCUGAAAGAGAACAUUUGUUAAUUGCUCAGGAAAAAAGGAAGCAUUAAAGAUAACAAUAACUAUAGUUUCUAUAUAGUUACUCACAAGAGGAGCUUUCUAAGCCCAAGGAAUCUGCUUGGCUUGUAACAGAUAUUCAAUAAGUAACUAUUUCAUCAACAGAUGUGUGAAUAAAUGAAUAUAUGAAGGAAUAAAUGAAUGAAAGAAGGAAACAAAGGUGAAAACAGUGGUUUCAGUUAAGACUUUUGAAAAAAAAAGUUUUAUUGAUUUCAGAGAGAGGAAGGGAGAGUUAGAAACAUCAAUGAUGAGAAAGAAUCACCGAUUGGCUGCCUCCUGCAUGCUCCCUACUGGGGAUUGUGCCCACAACCCGGGCAUGUGCCCUGAUGGAAAAUCAAACCGUGACCUCUUGGUUCAUGGAUCAACACAACCAGUGAACCACACUGGCCUGCUCAGUUAAGACUUUUAAUGAAACCAAUAAUAUCUCUUUUAGGAAAAAGCCAGUUGGAAAGUCGACAUAUUGUACAUUAUCUUCUCUAGGUACUGUGGACAAAAGGGGCCACAUGCUAACCUGACAAGCUCAAGGAAGGCCUGCAUGGCCGUCUUGCAACUCUAAGACCUAAAACCCAGAGCAUAACCAAAUGCAACUGGGUGCCUGGAGAGAAACCGUAAGUUCCUUCACUGUUAUUGUUACCAUGUUAAUUGUUGACUAUUAACAAUCCUGUACCCACCUAUGUAAAUGAAGCUUGUUGUCUAUCAUUUACUUUUUAUUCAAUUCCAGAGGUUUCCCCACUUUGCUUUCUCCCACCUCCCUAAUCUAUCACCAGUGGAUUUCAUGUAACCCACGUCUCCUCUUUUGAUUGUAAUGUAUAAAACAAGGUGAAAAACCGCCAUUCUCCAGAGCACUGUCCCAACCCACUGAGAUUCUGUUUCCCAGCAAUUGUCAACAGUUUGGCUCAAAUAAACUCACAAAAAUUC
This is a long non-coding RNA of Myotis myotis, 1342 nucleotides long. RefSeq lists it as uncharacterized. Lineage: Eukaryota; Metazoa; Chordata; Mammalia; Chiroptera; Vespertilionidae. The record is from RefSeq and is a predicted model, not a curated record. The transcript has 2 exons.